GGACGAUAAUGACGGUACUUUAGGAGGAAGCUCCGGCUAACUACGUGCCAGCAGCCGCGGUAAUACGUAGGGAGCGAGCGUUGUCCGGAAUUACUGGGUGUAAAGGGAGCGUAGGCGGGAGUGCAAGUCAGAUGUGAAAUGCAUGGGCUUAACCCAUGAGCUGCAUUUGAAACUGCAUUUCUUGAGUGAAGUAGAGGUAAGCGGAAUUCCUGGUGUAGCGGUGAAAUGCGUAGAUAUCAGGAGGAACACCGGUGGCGAAGGCGGCUUGCUGGGCUUUUACUGACGCUGAGGCUCGAAAGCGUGGGUAGCAAACAGGAUUAGAUACCCUGGUAGUCCACGCUGUAAACGAUGAUUACUAGGUGUGGGGGGACUGACCCCUUCCGUGCCGCAGUUAACACAAUAAGUAAUCCACCUGGGGAGUACGGCUGCAAGGUUGAAACUCAAAGGAAUUGACGGGGGCCCGCACAAGCAGUGGAGUAUGUGGUUUAAUUCGAAGCAACGCGAAGAACCUUACCAGGUCUUGACAUCGUAUGCAUAGUCUAGAGAUAGAUGAAACCUCUUCGGAGGCAUAUAGACAGGUGGUGCAUGGUUGUCGUCAGCUCGUGUCGUGAGAUGUUGGGUUAAGUCCCGCAACGAGCGCAACCCUUACCUUUAGUUGCUACGCAAGAGCACUCUAAAGGGACUGCCGUUGACAAAACGGAGGAAGGUGGGGAUGACGUCAAAUCAUCAUGCCCCUUAUGACCUGGGCUACACACGUACUACAAUGGCAAUCAACAAAGAGAAGCAAGACAGUGAUGUGGAGCGAAUCUCAAAAAAUUGUCCCAGUUCACAUUGC
Molecule: ribosomal RNA, 835 nt
Filed under: uncultured bacterium
Lineage: Bacteria
Description: bacterial SSU rRNA
Rfam family: Bacterial small subunit ribosomal RNA
Source: RNAcentral